RNAcentral lists this long non-coding RNA (3136 nucleotides) under Mus musculus (house mouse). RNAcentral describes it as "long non-coding RNA chr7:69579707-69582843". Lineage: Eukaryota; Metazoa; Chordata; Mammalia; Rodentia; Muridae. The record is from RNAcentral.
AGAAAGGAGUGGCCCUCGCUGCGCAGGUUGACCACUGGCGGGUUCCUUCUCCAACUCCCUGUGUUAGGACAGAAGUCUCCUGAGUUUCUGCACCAGUGGACUCUGUCAAUCGCUUGGAUAAAAUGGCAUUAUUUGUAUCCAUAUAAUUUUACAGGGCUUAUCGUGUUGACAUCCAGAGUUUAAAACGUUCUACUGUGCAUGCUGUCUGUCCUAAAUCUGGUGAGACUCGGGGCUGCCUUUGAAUGUCGCAGGCUGAGAACGCUGCCUCUUGCUGCAACCUCUAAGAGACUUUUAGAAUAACCGGGUGACCUUAGUAAAUUACGGGAGUACUUUGUCCCAGAGUUACUAAUAGGGGAGAUGACCUGAUGAAUUCUAUAUUUUUAGCUCAUAACAUUUUUUAAAGUAAUAAAACGUUGAGAUUUUGUAGAGAGAAAAGCAAACAGCAAGUUAGUAGAUUGGUAGGUAACACAGAUCAAUCUCUUUGUCCUGGUUAGUGUGUCUUAUUGCAUGCUAUAUAUUUCUAUUGAUUUUUAGAAGGUUUCUCUAUUCAGAAAGAAUUAAAAAUAACAAGAAACACCUACCUUUCAAUUUGAUUAAUAAAGAUUGCCAAGUUAAAAAUAGAAAAGGAUGCUGAGUCCGGAAAAAAGAAACAAGCCUUAAAAAAUGCUUUAAGCCUAUUUGUACAAAAUGAAAUGGAAUGCUAUGAUUUUUUUUCCCUGAAAAUCUCUACAUUUGACAAGUGAGUAGAUAUUUUAAAUUUCUACUUAUGAAGUAUAGAUUCAUAUGUGAGCAAAAGUUAUCACCGAAUAUAAAAGGAUCCUCACACAUUAACUUCGCAUAAAUACAGGUAAUUAAAUAUGACCCAUAAGAACCACUAGCUCUCAGUAAUGAAAGAAUGGAAAAUACAUAAGAAUAAUAGAUUUUAUGAUGAUAUAGUUGAUCCUUAAUUACAUUUAUCUAACCAGAAAUGCAGCCUCUGGUCACACUGUUUGGUUUCAGAUCUCUGUUCACCUAUGUCAAGGUGGUCAAGAAAUUGUUUUAAGGGUCAGGAAAAAAAAGAACUGUCAGUGUACAGAUUUUGAGAAAAAUAAAAGAUAGAAAGGAAAGUUUUAAAGGGAGAGAAAGCAAGGUCUCCCAUCCCAGGCACGUAGUGAUGGCGACAGACUGUUUUGUCUGAGGAAGUCUUGUCCUUUGAAAGGCUGUGACUGAUGAGCUCCUAACAGAGUGAUACCUGUCAUCUCAGGAUCAAACAGGACACAACAAGGACAGGACCUUCAGGAGCGCCUUCUUUCUGGUCUGACCACUGACUGUGUUUAAGGUUGUGAUACACUACACCCAGAUCGUUUCAGACUGGCAGUUGUCCUCAGCCUUCCUCAUGCUGAGAUCAUUUUAUACAGUUCCCCCAUGUUGUAGUGACCCUGACCAUAAAAUUAUUCCCAUUGCUGCUUCAUAACUGUAAUCCUGCUAUUGCUAUGAGCUGUGAUGUAAAUAUUUGUGUUUUCUGAAGAUUUUAGAAGACUUCUAUGAAAGAGUCCCCGAUGCCUUAAAGGGGUUGUGACCCACAAGUUGAGAACCACUGUGUUAGAGCCAUCUAUCAAGCCAGGAACUGGUACAGGGAAGAGAUCUUACCUGUUUCAAAACAUUAAGGGCCAGUUGUUACUGCAGCACCAGUCUAUACUGAUACAUAACAAAACAAAACAAAUCUCAGAGGAUUGAGCUGAGCCAGAGAGUUGUGCCUCACAUUGAAGUGAAUAACACAAGAAAAUUCCUGGGACUUAAGGCUCAGAGGUUGGUUGCUAGUGAGUUGGUAUCGGCGGUACACAUAGAUGCCGAUUUAAAGAAAGAGAAACAAACAAACAAACAAAAACCCCAAAAACUAGAAAUAGCUUCAGGAUUAGAAUGAAUGAAUGAAUAAAUCAGUAAAUCAAUCAAUCAAUCAAUAAAUCAAUAAAGCAAGCUUAAACUCCCUCUUACUCUGCUCUGGGGCCUUGAAUUUGGAAAGGUAUGUCUUCUGAUCUACAGCUCAAAUUGUUAAAUUGUGAGGGAUUACCCCCACCUCCAAGGUCUGAAAAAGGAGUUUCCAAGGUACAAGCCCUCUCAUUUCUGCUUUCUUCACACACACAGCUACUGGGAAGGACCCUGACCCCUGGCCUUAUUAGCGAGACACUAACCCAAUGAGCCACCAGCUGCACUCUGAAAGCCCACGUGCACUCGGGCUGCGUAUUGGUCUCAUUGUUAUAAGACAUCCCAUUCAUGUCUGAUCAUUCGUCAACAUAGCGGCAUGAGUUAUUAUUAUAGGCUAUAGAAAGGUACACUGAAACAAUUAGAGUUUUGAAAAUGAAUUGUGCCUUGACAAUGGCUCUUUACCUUAAGAUGUUUAUAACUCUUCUUUGCUUUUAUGGUUUUAGUCGGUGUUUCAAUGCCACUAAUAACUUCCUAUUUAAAAAUUGUCUUCUCAAGUCAGAAUCUUCUAUGUGGUAGAAAAGACAGAUCACGGGAUUUCUCAGUUCAUGGCUCUUCCAGUUGUACUGUGCCUGUGCUAAUUACCCAGCAAUGCCACUAAUUGAACUGGAGUAAGGUCUGAAGUUCUGUUUCUUUAUCUAGUAGCUGAGUGACAUGGAUGCUACUGUGCCCAGACCAUUCUGUGAACACUCAGGGCCAGGGCCAGUUUCUCAACAUUCACUAAUUUAUUUAACCUAUCUAUAAGUGUGUUUAAGGGCAUUCACCCUAGAAGGUGGGAGAAGAUCAAUAAAAUCAAAUAUCGACUCCCUUAUAACUGCAUCUCAAGCAGGAAAAAACCAAAAGCCCAAGAAGAUUGGACCUAAGAAUGCUUCUGCUGUGAUAACCAAGGAAAGAAGUGUGAACUACAUUUAUUUGGGAUACUGGAAGAGGCAUUUGAGGAGUAUAUUUUGCUACCCAAAUUCUGAACUCUAAUUGUUUUCUUACCCCUUAUCCUAUGUAGGUGUAUCAGGAAAAGAACAAGCCAUCCCAGAAUAAUGAGCAGUUGUGUCUGUGGACGUAAAGUUUGGGCUGUAUUUCUUCAGUGACUGACAUCUCAGAGAAGAAUGGAUGUCAGAAAUAUCCACCCAUCUCUGUAGAGAGGCUUGCUGAUGGAGACAAUUAAAAGCAAUGAUUG